GAUGAACGCUGGCGGCGUGCCUAAUACAUGCAAGUCGAGCGAACAGACGAGGAGCUUGCUCCUCUGACGUUAGCGGCGGACGGGUGAGUAACACGUGGAUAACCUACCUAUAAGACUGGGAUAACUUCGGGAAACCGGAGCUACUACCGGAUAACAUGUUGAACCGCAUGGUUCAACAGUGAAAGACGGUCUUGCUGUCACUUAUAGAUGGAUCCGCACCGCAUUAGCUAGUUGGCAAGGUAACGGCUUACCAAGGCAACGAUGCUUAGCCGACCUGAACGGGUGAUCGGACAGACGGGAACUGAGACACGGCACAGACUCCGACGGGGGGCAGCAGUAGGGAAUCUUCCGGGAUGGGCGAAAGCCUAACGGAGGAACGCCGCGUGAGUGAAGAUGGUCUUCGGAUCGUAGAACGCUGUUAUUAGGGAAGAACAAAUGUGUAAGUAACUAUGCACGUCUUGACGGUACCUAAACAGAAAGCCACGGCUAACUACGUG
This 497-nucleotide ribosomal RNA is filed under the name uncultured bacterium. Its description in RNAcentral is "partial 16S ribosomal RNA". It matches the Rfam family "Bacterial small subunit ribosomal RNA", at positions 28 to 507 of the family's 1533-position model. The record is from RNAcentral.